Molecule: transfer RNA, 68 nt
Filed under: Stenocladius bicoloripes
Lineage: Eukaryota; Metazoa; Arthropoda; Insecta; Coleoptera; Lampyridae
Description: tRNA-Gln
Source: RNAcentral
UAUGUUUAAGUAUUGUAUGUACGGGGAAUUUUGAUUUCUCAAGGGUAGUUUAAUUCUAUGAAAUAUAA